Molecule: ribosomal RNA, 253 nt
Filed under: uncultured bacterium
Lineage: Bacteria
Description: partial 16S ribosomal RNA
Rfam family: Bacterial small subunit ribosomal RNA
Source: RNAcentral
UACAGAGGGUGCGAGCGUUGUUCGGAAUCACUGGGCGUAAAGCGCACGUAGGCGGAUUGUUAAGUCGGGGGUGAAAUCCUGAGGCUCAACCUCAGAACUGCCUUCGAUACUGGCGAUCUUGAGUCCGGAAGAGGUUGGUGGAACAGCUAGUGUAGAGGUGAAAUUCGUAGAUAUUAGCUAGAACACCAGUGGCGAAGGCGGCCAACUGGUCCGGAACUGACGCUGAGGUGCGAAAGCGUGGGGAGCAAACAGG